Non-coding RNA from Xyrichtys novacula (pearly razorfish), 6950 nucleotides. The record is from the annotation of a GenBank genome assembly. NCBI's taxonomy places the organism in Eukaryota, Metazoa, Chordata, Actinopteri, Labriformes, Labridae.
UCAGCUCUGGGACUUCAUGUUUGUAUCUGUGUGUGUGUGUGUGUGUGUGUGUUUGUGUGUGUGUGUGUGUGUGUGUGUGUGUGUGUUUACCUAAAACAUACACUCUGGAUAGACAGAUUUUAAACGUUUUUUGUGUGAGCACAUGAACGUAUCACAGAAUGGAUAAUCUGUAAAGUGUGUGUGUGUGUGUGUGUGUGUGUGACAGGUGUCAUGGAGGAGAUCUCCAGUUAUCACCCUCUAAUACCAUCUCUGCUCUUCACACACAAACACACACUUCAGUGAGGACAUUUGAAGUUUUUAAUUUGACGAACAGAUGAUGAGUUUGAUAAAAAAAAAUUCAUUCCUUAAUAUUAAAUUCAUGACUUAAAUAAUAAGGUGGAGCAUUAUUAAUCUUUCCUGUACGACAGCAUAUUAAGACCACUAUAAAGAGAAUAUGUGAAUUAAAGCUCCUGUGAGUUUUUCGAAAUUUUUAAAAUAGACUAAAAUUCAUAUUUAUCCUUUUUUAACGGUAUCUAAAUGUAAACAAAACCAUCAGUAACAUGAUAUCUAUAUUAGGAUUUUUUAAAUGGGGGUAGGUGUCGGCAGAGCAGCUUAAUAAACAGCCCUGAUUUUGUGAUUUCCAUAUAAAAUAUUUACAAAGUCAGCAGGAUGCAGUUUUGGUCAAAAUAACCGCUUUGUUCACACGAGGGCACAUUUCGGCUGCUUGUAACCGCAAUCUUGUUCUUUCGGUCAUUACCCAAAGUUCAUGGCCAUAGGUGAGGUUCGUCACGUAGAUCGACCGGUAAAUCGAGAGUCUCACCUUACGGCUCAGCUCUUUCUUCACCACAACUGAUCGGUUCAGCGUCCGCAUCACUGCUGACGCCGCUCCGAUCCGCCUGUCGAUCUCCCGUUCCAUCCUGCCCUCAAUCGUGAACAAGAUCCCGAGAUACUUGAACUCCUCCACUUGAGGCAGGACCAACCCUUCAACCUGGAGAAAGCAAUCUACCUUUUUCCAGCUGAGGACCAUGGCCUCGGACUUGGAGGUGCUGAUUUGCAUCACAUUACAAAGGCAUUAAUAUGAAUUUUUGGUACUUUCAUGAGUGAUGAAAAACUCCACACAGGAGCUUUAAAAUCAUCAUAUUAUGAGAGCAAACUGAUAGUUUUGAUUUACGAUGAGUGUGGAGCGUCUCUUUAAAUUGUCUCUAAUCUUCUGGCCCUUCAGCUCCAUGUUGUUACGAGUAUCAGGACUCUGAAAAGUCUGACCAAAAAGCUGAGAAAUGUGGUCCCCCCUUAAAAACAACAUCCAACUUCUCUUUGGUUCCUAAAAUCCGAGUCCGUUCACUCCAGGUGGGGUCUAGGUGAAGGUUGAUGCAGCAGCUGUUACACCUGUGUGGCAGCAGGUUGUGGACAGGUCCCUCAGUCAGUCACAGCUGCAGAUAAUCCCAUCUGUCCUGCAGGGCCGUGACGAUGACUGACAGGAGGAGGAUAGCGUCAGUCAUCCCGCACUGUCUCCGUCUGAUGAUGUCAGCGGACUGCCUAGCACCUCGCUGAUGCAGACGAUAUGAGACAAUGGGGGGGUGAAAAGUGUUGCUGCUGCUUCAUGGGGAAAAAAAAAAGAGGGAAAAUUAUUUAAGUCAAGAUUUAAGUGUCAUACGUCCCGCCCCCCUGGCUGCAUGAGUCUAUCUAUCUAUCUAUCUAUCUAUCUAUCUAUCUAUCUAUCUAUCUAUCUAUCUAUCUAUCUAUCUAUCUAUCUAUCUAUCUAUCUAUCUAUCUAUCUAUCUAUCUAUCUAUCUAUCUAUCUAUCUAUCUAUCUAUCUAUCUGAUUCAGAACCAUCAAAGUACAGUACUUUGCUCAAAAAACACAUAAGUCUACAGUUCUCUCAAGUCUUGGCUAUCAGGAGAAAAAAUAUUGGGAUUCUAACAAACACACAGCAAAAACUAUUUACAUAUUCACACUAAUUCUUCCAGGCGUUUUUUGUUAUUUAAAGUUGUUUUUACCACUUAUUGAAGCAGUUCUUGUCUGGGAUGAGACAGAGGGUCACAAGCAGGGAACUUUCUUGUCUCUUGUUGAUCUUUGGUUGCCUCUUAUUGGACACUACUGUCAGGGGAACAAUAGAAGAAGAAUAUGAGAAUUGGUCAUAUUGAUCGAAAGUUUGACAGAAAAAGAUGUCAUCAAAACAGCUCGUCAAACCCGGAAGACAUGAACUGCAUUUAGCGAUAGCGAUCUUUUUUUAUCACAACAAUAUGAUAAAUAAUCGUGUUUUCACCGGUAUAUCACUGCGGAUUUACCAUCAAACGUCUCCGAUCAAAGACCUAUUUUUGCGGCUGGAUUGUAAACUUUGUGGCAGGUGUCGAAAUACCAGGAAACCCUCGAUAGAUCGCUAAACGGGUAAACUUUUAAACACUUUUCAUCCCGUAGAGAUACACAGUAUAGUUCCUGAGAAACUGUAAACAAUAUUGGUGUCACGUGGGAUCGCCUGCGUGUUAAAUGUAAUGAAAAAAUGAUCACUUGCGUAAAUGCAGCUUCUAAUCAGGUCACAAAAACAAUCUGACUUCUAAUUGGGCCUUUACAGGUCAGAUGAUCACAUAAACAACCUCUGAUUGGUUGACAGUUCAAAACAAUACAGCAGCCUCUCUCUAGCCUAAAAUUCAUUCAUAAAUCAUCACAGAGAACCUUUGUUUUUUAAGGACGAGGGUUAGGGUUAGUUUACAGUUCACUGCCGGUCUCACAGGUCGAGUGGAUUUUACAGUAAUUUGCUGCAUCGUACCAUUUUAUUUUAGGGUUGAUAUUGUGAACACAACAAUAUUCAACUGUAGAGUUAUAUAUACACAUAUAUAUGUAUUACUUAAGAGUUUUUCUGGUGUAUUUAAAGGAGGAAACUCGUCUUAUAUUGGUAUAUAAACAUUAAAGCACAUUUUGGGUCACGAUGAAUCAUUUUUAAAGGUCAUGCAAAUGCUCUUUUUUCUUAAUAUUUUCCAUUAACUCUUACAUGACUGUGUUUGUCCUACAUCAACAGUUUAAAUAUGCAUAUUUAACUUUAAUCCAUCAACAUAUUAUUGUAUUUCGACGUCUUUUUGUCAUUUAAUGUAAGCAGAUUGUCGUGAUGUUUGACGACUUUAACUAACGAUGAGACUCACUGAUGAUUGUUGCUGAAUGAAGCUUUUUUAAACCGUCCGGUGGAAUUUUCUGGUGUGUGUUCGUUCCCGCUCAUGAGCUCGCCCUGUUUGUACAGUUCUGUGUGUUUUCACUGAGAGUGUGAGUGUGUGUGGCGUGUGGCCCGUGUGUGUGUUCUGGUUGGGCGACCGUCACAGGCUCAUGAACUGGCUGUGAUCCAUGCUGGUGUGUACAGUAUGUUUACACAUGCUACAUACAGUGUGCAUCUGUGUGUGUGUGUGUGUGUGUGUGUGUGUGUGUUUGUGUAAAUGUGUGUGUGCGCGUUCGCUGUGACCCAUAAUGUUUCUUUUUCCUCCAGUAAAACAGGAGAGCUGAAGCGAGGCCCAGCUCCUCUGACGGGGUGGCCGAGGGUCCCGCUGGGCCUGUGGCUCCUGUUCCAGAUCUGUGGAGGUGCAGCAUCCAUGGUGUUUGUGUAGGUUUGUGUAUGUGUGUGUGUGUGUGUUUGUGUAGAUCUCACUGAUUAGCCUGACCAGCAGCUUAUUGAUGCACUGGUUAAUGAUGUUUCCAAUGACAUGGACAGAUGAGGAAGAGGAGGAGGAGACAGUUCAUGAGGGUAAAAUCUCUCAGAGAAGAGGAGAAACAGACGCACACACAGGUUUUAUUAAAGAAAGUGAAAAUCUUCGUUUUUCUGUGUGAAAACCAUCGAAGGUGAGACGGUGAAUUUUAUUAAAAGUGCAUUUUAAACCUGCAUCACUACAGUAAAAAUCUCUUUUUUAUGGUCAAAACAGAAUUAAUGAAUGGUUUCACACAUUUUAAAGUGUAUUAAUGUUAAAAAGCAGAUCUUGUCCUUUUUAGAAGAAAUAAAACUCACACAACUGCGUUAAAAAAUUAUACUUUCCUUACAAAAGAUCUUUGCUUUUCCACUGUUGAUAAUGAGGGCAUGUAAGUGAAACUGAGUAACAUUUUUACUGUAAAUUAUUACCAGAAUUUGUUUCAAUAUUUCACAAUAAAUGACCGUGUCAUCUCUGUAAGGCUCUAACUUCAGUUAGAGCCUUCGACAGUCAAACAAAGUGGUGUACAUGGGAUAAAUAGAAGAAGUAAAUAAAUAGAUGACAAUAAAAAGUAAAAUUUAAAACAGUAGAAUAAAAAACAGACAAAAGUGGUGAAUCUGUAACUUACUGUAACUAUUAAUAUUACGAUGACAACAUACAUUUACAUAAACAUUUUUACUGGGAAAGGGUAAAAAGUCAAAUGUUAAUAAACUUUAAAUUUCAGCAUAAAUGAUCUAAAUGAAAUAACGUUAAUAAAGGUUUUUAAAAAUGUACCCACCCCAUUUCAUAAUACUGAUAUACAAAAUACAAUCUAUAUAUUUUUUAAAUGAAAAUCAACAUCUAAAAGGUCCUGUAAAUGUCCGACUCAGUUUUAUCAGUGACUUUUUUUUUUCGUUUUUCACCUUUCAUGAUUUUUCGCUCAAUAACCUUGUUAUUUAUUCCACUUUGACUUAAUUUCAGCACAAUUUUGCCUCUGUCUGAAACAUUUCUCUUUGGCAUCUUUUAGUGUCUGUGGGUGUUACUUUUUACACAGCUGUGAAGCUCCAUCUUUAAAUAAAGAGUCUGAGGUUAGCCGCUAGCACCCGCUGAGUUUUAUAUUUAUCCACAUUAGCAUUCGGCGGCUGUUAUUACAUCACAAAACAAGCAAUUCAGCAAAACCUGGCGAAGCAUAUGGAAAUGACGCUUCCAUCAGUAUAUCGCAUGUUGUUUAACUUUGCUGCAGUUCAGUUUAGUCAUCCAACGGUUUAACACUAUGUGUAUUUAUAUGUUUAAGUUCAUAACAGUUCCAACUAAGAAACUGGUGACAAAGAAAUCAGCAAAAAUGUAGGAUCUUUUCUCUAACACAGCUAAACACCAGCUCACAAAGUCAUAAAUAAUAACACCGGCCUUAGGUAAAAGUUUACUUUAAUACUUGAUUAAAAUACUAGAUUUAUCGUGUAGUAGAUGCACAUAUCCUUAGUUUUGAUGGCGAUUCAAUAUUCAUAACAAGUUAUCACAAGUAAUGCUGGCUUAGGUGGAGUAAAAGAAACAACUUAAUUAACGUGGGAUGUUGAAUUUUGCACAAGUAUAAAUACUGUUGUUUUAGACUGUAUAUGUAGAUAAAAACAUAUGUAGUUAUCACUGAAAUAUAAGCUGCUCAGUUGAAGUUUAUUAAAGUCACACCUCAGGUUUCGAGUCUUUCCACUUGUCUCUCAAAAAUCCAAACUAAGGCUGAGAGACUUUCCUGCUGCUGAAUAUAAAUUUUCAGCCUGAUAUAAAUUUAAACAUCCUGAUCCAGUUGAGUAAAGGACAGUAAAUUUUUUAUCAAGACGGCACAGCAUAAUAAAACGAUCCAUUAAAGGGAUAUUCCGUCUGUUUGUGUUCAGCAUGUUUACAGUUAGGAGACUGCUGUCUUUGAUUUCAUGUUACCUCUCAUUGUGUAACUCCUCAUGGACAUUAUAAUCCACAGCUCGGAGUGUGUUUACAUGUUUGUGUCUUGUAUCAGUGACUACGUGUGUGUUUAUUCAUGUAUGCAGCCCCGUGUGUGUGUCUGUGAGUGUGUGUGUGUUGGUGUACGGUCCCUGUGCGGCUGUUCCCCUGCUGUAGACGCCUGUUCUGGCGAUAGCAUUGUCUCCAUGUCCAAAGACCUGCCGGCUGCCCUAUUCCACCACGUCUUUAUCAUGCUAAUACAGAGGAAAGGAGGGAGGAGAGGAGGAGGAGGGAAGGAUAGCUCAACAAACAGAGGAAGAGGAGUAAUCUUUCCCCUCCUCUCUUCAUUCUCACCACCUCCUCCUCCUCCUCCUCCGUCCUCUCUCCUUCCCUUUCUUCUCGUCCUCCCUCCCUCUUCAUCUGCUGCUUUCUUAUCUUCCUCCCGUACUUCUUUGAUAAUCCCUCCCAACAUUGUCUUCAUAAUUACACACAACAAUGAUUCUCAUCCGCGCAAGAGAAAUGUGCGCCGUGCAUGGAGAAUAUUUCAUAGAUGAAGACCAGAAUGUGAAUUAAUAACUUGCUUCUCUAAUAUAUAAGGCUGUGUCUGUGCUCUGUGUGUGUGCGUGUGCGCGUGUGUGUGUGAGUGUGUGUCAGAGGGGGGAGCAGUGUUGUUUUAACACGACUGUUACAUUAUGCAUGCUGACAGGCCUGCCUGUCCCCAUUAAAGGCCCAUCUUGUUUCCCCAUUAUAUCUGCUUUCUCAGUUAAUAGAGCUCUUUGUGUGGCACUUCCCUUUAUUCUCCGGCUGUUACAACAGAAAGGUCAGCGCCCGCACAACCUGACACACUGACGCUGCGGCUCCCAGAGACCCGGAGUGACGACAACUGUGCGGACCUUUUAUUACAGCUCUGCCUUCAAGAGGCGGCGCAGUACGUCACUUCUCUUACGUCGACGACUUCUUACUCAGACGUUUUAAAUCAGACGGAGAAGUUAGGAAGAGAAAUGUUCGCUGUGUUGACAUGGACCACUGUCAGAGUAAACUGGUGUGAUCAGGCCCUUUAGGACAGGAAGUUCAUCCUAAUCCUGAGGGGGUGAUAAAACUGUUUCGAACUAUCUUCUUUUAGCUUGAACCCUGAGCUCUUGAUCGCUGAUAUUUCCUAAACUAAAUGAUUAUUUUCUUCCUGUAAUACAAGGGUGACAUCCCCUUUUGGGGAGCUGUCCGGCCUGUGGAGUUUUUUUUUAAUCCUUCAAAUGUCCAGGGUUUUGUAUGGGAGCCUGUUUCUGCAAGUGGGGGAAAAAACAAUGAGAUAAAAUGUCGUCUAUUAUUUUUUUUAAUUUUUGGGAAUUAAGAACAUGCGCGUAAAAAACACUCAACCCAGAAAAACCCUCGAAAUUUUG